RNAcentral lists this transfer RNA (70 nucleotides) under Spilocuscus maculatus. RNAcentral describes it as "tRNA-Ala". It matches the Rfam family "tRNA". From Rfam's summary of the family: Transfer RNA (tRNA) molecules are approximately 80 nucleotides in length. Their secondary structure includes four short double-helical elements and three loops (D, anti-codon, and T loops). The record is from RNAcentral. Lineage: Eukaryota; Metazoa; Chordata; Mammalia; Diprotodontia; Phalangeridae.
UAAGGAUUUAGCUUAAUUAAAGUGUUCGAUUUGCGUUCGAAUGAUGCAAGAUAGAAACUUGUAAUUCUUA